UACGUAGGGUGCGAGCGUUGUCCGGAAUUAUUGGGCGUAAAGAGCUCGUAGGCGGUGUGUCACGUCGGCCGUGAAAACCUGCAGCUUAACUGUGGGCGUGCGGUCGAUACGGGCAUCACUGGAGUUCGGCAGGGGAGACUGGAAUUCCUGGUGUAGCGGUGAAAUGCGCAGAUAUCAGGAGGAACACCGGUGGCGAAGGCGGGUCUCUGGGCCGAUACUGACGCUGGAGGAGCGAAAGCCAUGGGGAGCGAA
RNAcentral lists this ribosomal RNA (252 nucleotides) under uncultured bacterium. RNAcentral describes it as "partial 16S ribosomal RNA". It matches the Rfam family "Bacterial small subunit ribosomal RNA", at positions 524 to 772 of the family's 1533-position model. The record is from RNAcentral.